RNAcentral lists this ribosomal RNA (195 nucleotides) under uncultured Paraglomus. RNAcentral's name for it is "partial 18S ribosomal RNA". It matches the Rfam family "Eukaryotic small subunit ribosomal RNA", at positions 569 to 766 of the family's 1831-position model. Lineage: Eukaryota; Fungi; Glomeromycota; Glomeromycetes; Paraglomerales; Paraglomeraceae. The record is from RNAcentral.
AGCAGCCGCGGUAAUUCCAGCUCCAAGAGCAUAUAUUAAAGUUGUUGCAGUUAAAAAGCUCGUAGUUGGACUUCUGGUUUAAUGCACCUGGCCCGCGGCCCACAAGGCCUGUGAGUGCCGGCGCGCGUUUACCAUCCUUCCAGCAACGCUACCCUUAACUGGGCGGUGGAACUGGAUCUUUUACUUUGAAAAAAU